RNAcentral lists this ribosomal RNA (253 nucleotides) under uncultured bacterium. RNAcentral's name for it is "partial 16S ribosomal RNA". It matches the Rfam family "Bacterial small subunit ribosomal RNA", at positions 524 to 776 of the family's 1533-position model. The record is from RNAcentral.
UACGUAGGGGGCAAGCGUUGUCCGGAAUUAUUGGGCGUAAAGAGCUCGUAGGCGGUUUGUCGCGUCGGCCGUGAAAUCUCCACGCUUAACGUGGAGCGUGCGGUCGAUACGGGCAGACUUGAGUUCGGCAGGGGAGACUGGAAUUCCUGGUGUAGCGGUGAAAUGCGCAGAUAUCAGGAGGAACACCGGUGGCGAAGGCGGGUCUCUGGGCCGAUACUGACGCUGAGGAGCGAAAGCGUGGGGAGCGAACAGG